RNAcentral lists this ribosomal RNA (327 nucleotides) under uncultured eukaryote. RNAcentral's name for it is "partial 18S ribosomal RNA". It matches the Rfam family "Eukaryotic small subunit ribosomal RNA", at positions 1470 to 1796 of the family's 1831-position model. The record is from RNAcentral.
CCCUUAGAUGUUCUGGGCCGCACGCGCGCUACACUGACGAAUGCAACGAGCUUAUAACCUUGGCCGAAAGGUCUGGGUAAUCUCCAAAUUUCGUCGUGAUGGGGAUAGAUUAUUGCAAUUAUUAAUCUUCAACGAGGAAUGCCUAGUAAGCGCAAGUCAUCAGCUUGCGUUGAUUACGUCCCUGCCCUUUAUACACACCGCCCGUCGCUCCUACCGAUUGAAUGGUCCGGUGAAGCGUUCGGACCGUGGCCUUUGGACGGUUCGCCGUCUGUUGGCUGCGGGAAGUUCGUUAAACCUUAUCAUUUAGAGGAAGGAGAAGUCGUAACA